Molecule: long non-coding RNA, 329 nt
Organism: Scylla paramamosain (green mud crab)
Lineage: Eukaryota; Metazoa; Arthropoda; Malacostraca; Decapoda; Portunidae
Exons: 3
Source: RefSeq, a predicted model, not a curated record
UAUACAGAGUCAGCUGAUAACCAAAACAUUAAAGGGAAGACAGGAAGUGAGAAGUUAAUUUUUAGUGAAUAAUAACAUGAAUACUGAUAAUUCAAAGUGAAGAACGGAAGAGGAAAGGAAGAGGAGGAGGAGAAGGAAGAGAAGAGAAGGAGAUACGUGAUAUACGAAGUGAUAUAAGACACUCCCCCAGGAUGGGCAUACUGCUGUCUUGCUGUGGUGGUGGUGGUGGUGGUGGUGGCGGUGGUGGUGGCAGUCCUUCCUCCAACUACAACAGCAUGUCCAGCUCAGUUGAUCCAGACACAAGACGCAGGCAGAUGGCAGAGGCAGCA